Long non-coding RNA from Carya illinoinensis, 1638 nucleotides. RefSeq lists it as uncharacterized. The record is from RefSeq and is a predicted model, not a curated record. Lineage: Eukaryota; Viridiplantae; Streptophyta; Magnoliopsida; Fagales; Juglandaceae. The transcript has 9 exons.
UACUUCUUAAGCGCCGACGCUCCCACCCAUUUCUCACAAACCCCUCUCUCUCCGUUUAUUCCUCUUCACCGCCACAACCUCGCCUCUUCUCGUAAAAUGACAAAACAAAAAUAUACCCCAAUAUUCUAACUCCUCAGUCCAGUGCACUCCAUUACCAAAGCUUGGGCAUAGAACAAAUUGGUUUGGGCAAAAUAUAUCCCCAGUCCAGUGCACUCCAGUACGGAUUCUGUAUAAUAGAAGGGCCGGAAACAGAGCAAGACUUUGUUGCAAUGGAAUUGCAGGAGAUCCAAGAUUCUAUUCAGUCGUCGGAACAAAAUUUUCUUGCAUAUGGAGGAGGGUAUAAAUGGAAGCCAGGAACCUACUAUGGUACUAAAAUAGUGUUGUGCAGAAAUUAAUUACAGUUGAGAGAGAAAAACAUUAUCAUUACAAGGCAAAAUGGGUGAGAGUAGUAUAGAGAGAUACAUACCAUAACUCUUCAAACUUUGAUGGAAGAAGGGAAAGGUGCGUGGUGCUAUAUCAUGGGUGAAGUUCAUUGGCAUAGAUGUGGCUUCAUUUAUCACCCGAGAGCUGUCCUUCAAGCCUCCAAACAAAAUCCGGUUGGAAGGCUGAGAAUACAACAGAGGAUUAAAAGUGCAGAACUUGGGAUUUUAAAGUAAGCACAAGAGAAUGAACUUCCUAAUUUUCCAUCAUUCAUUCCAUUUUUGCCUCCUUUGGUGCGCUUUUUCGCAUAGGACAAUUAGAGCUAUGUUCUCCUUCAAGAUGUUGAUCAUCAAUAUAUUGCCUGCAGAGUUCAGCAAACCUUAAGCUGUAUUAUGCCACCUGUUCUUCUCUUAUUGCCGGGAUUAUCCUUUUUGGGGGCAUUCUAGCACGUUCUAGGAAGAAGAAUAUGACUCCGAUUGGCUCAAAGAUCUCGAAACACACUAAAGUGGAAGAUACAAACCUAAAAAGGGCCCCGAAGACCUCCAAAACAGAAUUGAUAUUCUACGAAAGCGGGCAGAAGUAAGUCCGUGGUAUCUUUUUGUUUUUAUAUUUGCUAAGUUUCUUUUGUUACUAAGUUGUGAUGUUUCUAUGUUUGACGAGGGGCCUGUCAUUGAUGCCGUUGUGUGGCAUGAUGGAGAAGUAUGGACGGCUGCUCUUGAGACACACAGUCUUGAAGAUGACCUGGAUUCUGGGAAACUUUAUAUCGUUAUCCCCCUGACUAAUCAUAGGUUCCAGUAUUUUCUGGUUUUCCAGCUUCCCCAAAUGGUGAUUUUCAGAUGUUCCCAGUCAUGUACCCUGCACUUGCACCAAACUUGAAUACUUUGCAAAAUCAGGAACAGAUUAAUCGUGGGCCGGCAUUUAUGCUGUUCCUGUUUUCCCAUAUAAGAUGAUUGUUUUAAUUUAAAGUACAUAAAUUUUUAUUGAACUUAAAAUUCUGGUUGGGUUUUAUUAUCAGUUACUCUUUGAGAUUUGAUUUUUCCUCCCGGAAUCGAAUUAUGUAUCACAUGUAGAGAAAAUAAUACUAUGUUUACUAUAUGGUGAACGCAUAAUAAGUAUUUUAUAGUAUUAUUGAUGUAGUAUAUUGUGCUAAACAAAUAUACCCAGGGUGAUUUUCUUCAGGUAUAUUAUUGUAAUGCAUGCAUAUAUUCUUUUGUUUUA